UUGGAGGACAUUAUAACCGUGGAGAAAAUCAAUGGGUAUUGGAAAGGACAGGAGCGAGGAUGUUAUACACAAGAUGGAAGCCCGGAGAACCUAACGACUCGGGCAGGAAAGAGGAUUGUGUCCUUGUGUGGAAUAUUGACAACCGUCGUCUAUGGAAUGAUGCUACAUGUAAUAUAAAAAGUAGCGUGAUAUGUCAGAAAAGUAUCAUCACUUCAUGAAGAUGAUGGAUACCACCGACCAAACCAGUCAAAGACUCUAUCAAGUGAUGAAGCUCACCAGUCAAAAACUCUACAACUGAUCAAUCUAGCCAGCCAUAACUCUAUCACGUGAUCAAUCUAACCAGCCAUACCUCUAUCACGUGAUCAAUCUAACCAGCCAUAACUCUAUCACGUGAUCAAUCUAGCCAGACAUAACUCUAUCACGUGUUCAAUCUAACCAGCCAUAACUCUAUCACGUGAUCAAUCUAGCCAGACAUAACUCUAUCACGUGAUCAAUCUAACCAGCCAUAACUCUAUCACGUGAUCAAUCUAACCAGCCAAAGACUCUAUCAAGUGAUCAAUCUAACCAACCAUAACUCUAUCACGUGAUCAAUCUAACCAGCCAUUACUCUAUGACAUGAUCACCGACCAAACCACACAUCACGUGAUAACUAUUGAUUGACCAACGGAAUAAACUCUGGAUUGAGGGAAAAACACUAAGGAAGACAAUAAAAUAGAAAAAUACAAGCUAACAAAAACAAAUAAUUAAAAAAACAAAAACAAAAAAAAAACAGAAAACAAAAAUAAUUUUGUAUAUACAUUUAAUAGGGCCAUUGUUUAUAUAAUGAUUUUUUUCCGGAUUCCAACAAUUUCAAUUUGUAAUAUUACUAACAGUCCUUGCUUUUAAUAUUAUAUAAAACAUUUUACAAUGUAUUUUAUAUGCAUACACAAUCAUUCUAUGCCGUAUCAUUAGCUAAAAUUCAUUGCUAUAUUACAGAUAUCAUUAUAUUAAUGAUAUAUAGUGUAUAUUGUUAUAUGCACUGAUUUUCUGGAGAAAUAGAAUGAAAUCAGCACGGACAAUGAGAUGUUAGAGGGAGAAGGGUACAUGAUGAUAUGACAAUGGACUUUGCUGUAUUUAAUCACGAAAUAAAUGAAUAUAUACUUCAAUCGA
Pecten maximus is the source of this 1149-nucleotide long non-coding RNA. RefSeq lists it as uncharacterized. NCBI's taxonomy places the organism in Eukaryota, Metazoa, Mollusca, Bivalvia, Pectinida, Pectinidae. The record is from RefSeq and is a predicted model, not a curated record. The transcript is spliced from 2 exons.